This 253-nucleotide ribosomal RNA is filed under the name uncultured prokaryote. RNAcentral describes it as "partial 16S ribosomal RNA". It matches the Rfam family "Bacterial small subunit ribosomal RNA", at positions 525 to 777 of the family's 1533-position model. The record is from RNAcentral.
ACAGAGGGUGCUAGCGUUGUUCGGAAUCAUUGGGCGUAAAGGGCGUGUAGGCGGUUUGUUAAGUCAUGUGUGAAAGCCCCCGGCUCAACCGGGGAACGACGCAUGAAACUGGCAAGCUAGAGUACCGAAGAGGGGGGUGGAAUUCCCGGUGUAGCGGUGAAAUGCGUAGAGAUCCGGAGGAACACCGACGGCGUAGGCAGCGUCCUGGCCGCGACCUGACACUGAGGCACGAAAGCUGGGGGAGCGAACAGGA